AGAACGAACGCUGGCGGCAGGCUUAACACAUGCAAGUCGAACGGUUGUAGCAAUACAGCAGUGGCAGACGGGUGAGUAACACGUGGGAACCUUCCUAGGGGUACGGAACAACUCAGGGAAACUUGAGCUAAUACCGUAUACGUCCGUGAGGAGAAAGUUUUAACGCCCCUAGACGGGCCCGCGUAGGAUUAGGUAGUUGGUGAGGUAACGGCUCACCAAGCCUACGAUCCUUAGCUGAUCUGAGAGGAUGAUCAGCCACACUGGGACUGAGACACGGCCCAGACUCCUACGGGAGCAGCAGUGGGGAAUCUUGGGACAAUGGGCGCGAAACGCUGAC
This 337-nucleotide ribosomal RNA is filed under the name uncultured soil bacterium. RNAcentral describes it as "bacterial SSU rRNA". It matches the Rfam family "Bacterial small subunit ribosomal RNA", at positions 26 to 387 of the family's 1533-position model. The record is from RNAcentral.